Molecule: ribosomal RNA, 256 nt
Filed under: Ditylum brightwellii
Lineage: Eukaryota; Bacillariophyta; Thalassiosirophyceae; Lithodesmiales; Lithodesmiaceae
Description: partial Bacterial small subunit ribosomal RNA
Rfam family: Bacterial small subunit ribosomal RNA
Source: RNAcentral
GGUGAAAUGCGUAGAUAUCUGGAGGAACAUCAGUGGCGAAGGCGACUCCCUGGCCAAAGACUGACGCUCAUGUGCGAAAGUGUGGGUAGCGAACAGGAUUAGAUACCCUGGUAGUCCACACCGUAAACGCUGUCUACUAGCUGUGUGUGUCUUUAAGACGUGCGUAGCGAAGCUAACGCGCUAAGUAGACCGCCUGGGGAGUACGGCCGCAAGGUUAAAACUCAAAUGAAUUGACGGGGGCCCGCACAAGCGGUGG